Long non-coding RNA from Octodon degus (degu), 2712 nucleotides. RefSeq lists it as uncharacterized. The transcript is spliced from 5 exons. Lineage: Eukaryota; Metazoa; Chordata; Mammalia; Rodentia; Octodontidae. The record is from RefSeq and is a predicted model, not a curated record.
GCCGGCAGUCCUGGGAGGAGCGCACAGGUCGAGGGCUGGACAAGACAGCCAGGCUCUGGUAUUUCCCUAAGUGUCAGCACAGAAUCGCUGGCUGAGGACCCCGGAAAUUUCUGUCUCCAUCUCCACCCUCGGAAGUCUGGCCACAAAGAGCCCUGUAAUCGGCCAAGUACUCUUCAAAUGGGCAUGGUUACACCUUGACCUCAAACACAAACUGUUUUUGUUACUGGCUGAGAGCCUGGGAACUAACAUGACGCUGCCUGCUUGGAAUCCUGGCCCCUGGCUUACCAGCGGCAUGACCUUGGACAUGCCACAUGAGCGUGGAUCCUUGCUGGGCACCCCAUGCCCUGGUCUCUCCUGAAGCAACCAGGGAGCUGCCGUCUGGGCCUCAGUGACAGUGCAGGUCAGACACACGCAGGCCUGCACAAUGACCCUUGGUGAUUACCCGUCGUCAUGCUCCAGACAGCAAUACUGAGACCCCCCUCGCUCCAUGAAGCGGGGCAGCCCCAGGAAAUCCUGUGCGGGGCUGGUGAGGGUGUGGAGAAGGGACACAGGGGACUUGCCACCUUGUUGGCAGGGGUGUGUUUCCAAAAGAACGAAAGACUUCAGAGGCAGUGACCACGCGCGCCCACAUACAGAGUGGUACAGCUCCUAACCCUAAAUCUGGGAGGCGGCCCACAUGCUCCUCAGCAGACGAAGGGACACAGAAGGUGUGGGGCGCCGCCGUGCCAUACAGCAGGGUGCACUGGAGCCCUCUGUAGGGUGAUGGAUGGACCAUGGGGUGUGGUGCCAAGUAGGACUGGUCAGACACAGCAGCCUAAGCCCUGAGUGGUCAGAAAAGGAGCAAGGCACAAGACAGGCUUUGAAGACGGAAGCUGCCACACAGUUAGCAGCCAGUGGAGAGAGUCACAGGGCAAGAGACCAAGGACAGCCUCCAGCCCACGGGAGCAGAAACUGAGAGGCGAGUGUGGUCAGCAAUCACGUGGGCCAGGAUGAGGGGUCAGGCCUGGUCUCCUGGGUACAGAAAUGGCGACAUGAUGCAGGUGUGCCGUUGUCACUGCCAACCAGGGGCGACACUGUUCCGCAGUGACAGAUCACUGCUGCCGUGGCGACGCCCACUCAGCCUGCGUCACAAAUGCUGCCGUGUCAGGACUGUUCCGUCUAGGGGGCCUUCACGGAGCGGCAUGCAGAGCCAGACUGCCACAUUCGGCACUCAGCGCCUGCACGAGGCCCACACUCACUUCCUUGUUGGCAGUGUGAAGCGGGAGGACCAGGGCUUGCACGCUAGGCCACGGCACAGUGCGGGCUGUGGCCCUGCUGUACGCACGUCGGGCUGGAGCUCAGCUGGGAAGAGGCUGGAGGGGCGGCCGGGCGGGGCUGCCUUUCCGGGCUCCGGGAGGGGAGAGUGCAGAGCCUGGGCCUGAGCUGUGUCUCCCAAGACCCGCUGCGCCCCUCUACGGUCAGAGCACUCCUCGUUGCUUGUUCUUCCUCUGAGCCUCCGCGUCCCAUCCCUGAAAAGGUCCUAACACCAUUCCCUAGGAGUCCUGGAAGGAGGUGGGUGCUCCACGUGGGGUGCAUGGUAUCAGCAAGGUUGUGGCCACCUGGCCCCUGCGGCCAGGCCCUCAUAUGGGGAUCUGAGACUCUUGCGCCCCAGUUGCAUGCAGGGGCUGGAGAAGGGCCAGCCCGCAGGUGAAGGGUGCUGACAUCGCCAUGUGUCUGCCUCAGUGCUAUGGUCCGGGCGCUUGUGUUGGAGGCUUGGCCCCAGCUUCGGUGUUGCUGGGGGCCCUCGGGACACAGCCUGGGCGGGGGGCACGAGGCCCUCCAGUGGGGCGCCUUGGGGAUGUGCGGGGCACAGCGCCAGGCCCCUUGCUUCACCUCCCAGCUCCCCCAGAGUUCCUGCCACAGUGGGCUGCCUCAACACAGACUCGAGGUGGCAGGGCCUGCUGAGCACGGCCUGAGACCCCGGAACUGGGCACCUGCUGCGGUUGUGUCCUGACGUCUCUCAAGCCAGUCUCAGACGUUUUUGGAGGUGGGUGAAUCUAGAGCCUGUGACUGAUUCCAGGUGGACACUGGGAUGAGGACGCGUGCUGUACGCCCUCAGGGCAGGCUGCCUGCGCGGGUGAGGGCAGCAGGGGUGGCUGCCCCCGGGCCGCAGCACCCGCCUCCACUGAUGAGGAGCUGAGGAACCUUUCCUCCUGUACCUUCUGGUGUCAGGUGUUUGUCCCAGCGCUGAGAGAAAAGCAGCUGAGAGCCCACACCUUACGCAGGCAGUGGAUAAGCCCGGGGGUUGUGACAGCCAUGGGCACGCUGGGUUCAAAGGCGCCACACAGCUUACUCCUUUUCCAGGGAGCUCUGCUUGCAGCAGUCUCUGCGUUGCAUCUCACUCCUUUGAAGAUGUCCACAAACAGCCCCGCACCCACCCCCUGCCUGCCACCCAUUGCCCCUGCAAGCAGCGCUCAGACCCCAGAGCUCUGGGGUGCAGGCAGCACUGAUUCACGCCACUUCCUUUCAUGCGUGGAGCAGGGCUUGGCCCAGCACCAGUGCAGACUAAGUACCCACCCAGUGGGUGUCAGGACCCCUCCUGCUUUUGCCUGUGGGACUCAGCCUGAUGAAGGGAAAUGAGAAAUUCAGGGAGUCAAAACGACUUUUAAGAAAGGAAACGAGGGCUGGGGAGAUAGCACAGUAGAAUAAGCGCUUACCAGGCAAGCGCAAGGG